ACAGCAGCAACCCUAUGACUAUAUUAAAUCAAAGGACUUCUAUUUACUUAGACAUUGAGAAGCCGCCUGUUUAACUAAGUGGAAUUAGGAAUCACGUAGUAUGAGAUCAAUUCCGUACCAGGAGAGAAGAAGAUGUCGUCCUAAUCAGUAGUUCAAGAGUAGUCCUUACAACUAUAUUUAAUUCCGCAAGUCCUUCAACACUAGCCCAACAGGACUUAGGGCACUCUUAGAUCAUACAGAACACAUUGGGUUUACCAUAUUACGGGGUCAUCGUAUACUACUGCAGUGGGGUGUGAAGAGCAGCAUGGAGAUUCGAGGACAC
This 322-nucleotide long non-coding RNA is filed under the name Mytilus galloprovincialis (Mediterranean mussel). The record is from RNAcentral. Lineage: Eukaryota; Metazoa; Mollusca; Bivalvia; Mytilida; Mytilidae.